Molecule: ribosomal RNA, 253 nt
Filed under: uncultured bacterium
Lineage: Bacteria
Description: partial 16S ribosomal RNA
Rfam family: Bacterial small subunit ribosomal RNA
Source: RNAcentral
UACAGAGGUGGCAAGCGUUGUUCGGAAUUACUGGGCGUAAAGGGCGCGUAGGCGGUUCGUUAAGUCCUGUGUGAAAUCCCCCGGCUCAACUGGGGAACUGCACAGGAAACUAGCGGGCUUGAGUUCGGGAGAGGGAAGCGGAAUUCCGGGUGUAGCGGUGAAAUGCGUAGAUAUCCGGAGGGACACCGGUGGCGAAGGCGGCUUCCUGGACCGACACUGACGCUGAGGCGCGAAAGCUAGGGGAGCAAACGGG